CCUACGGGCGGCAGCAGUGAGGAAUAUUGGUCAAUGGACGAGAGUCUGAACCAGCCAAGUAGCGUGAAGGAUGACUGCCCUAUGGGUUGUAAACUUCUUUUAUAUGGGAAUAAAACGUUCCACGUGUGGGAUUUUGUAUGUACCAUAUGAAUAAGGAUCGGCUAACUCCGUGCCAGCAGCCGCGGUAAUACGGAGGAUCCGAGCGUUAUCCGGAUUUAUUGGGUUUAAAGGGAGCGUAGGUGGAUUGUUAAGUCAGUUGUGAAAGUUUGCGGCUCAACCGUAAAAUUGCAGUUGAGACUGGCAGUCUUGAGUACAGUAGAGGUGGGCGGAAUUCGUGGUGUAGCGGUGAAAUGCUUAGAUAUCACGAAGAACUCCGAUUGCGAAGGCAGUUCACUGGACUGCAACUGACACUGAGGCUCGAAAGUGUGGGUAUCAAACAGGAUUAGAUACCCGAGUAGUC
This 460-nucleotide ribosomal RNA is filed under the name uncultured bacterium. Its description in RNAcentral is "partial 16S ribosomal RNA". It matches the Rfam family "Bacterial small subunit ribosomal RNA", at positions 338 to 795 of the family's 1533-position model. The record is from RNAcentral.